GGAAAUGAGGCAUCUCAGCAACAACCCGGGUAAAGAAAACUGAAGGAAAAUGUAGGUUUUUUUCUAAUCCCUCACCGCCAUUUGAGCAGCGCGCACAGAGUAAGAAAACCUUAAUCUCGCUUUAACCACUGACUGCGUAAAAGAGACUUCAUUGGAGGGGUCUACCUGAGAUCAGAGCCUCAGAGCUAUCAUUUCUUACUCCAAAUCUCAGCUUCUCAUGAAUGUUCUCCUGGAAACUGCUGCGUGCUCACAUAAUUCAUCUUGUGGAUUGAGGCCAUAAGUAUUAACAAAUUAGCUGCAAUCAAAUUUGGCACUUUAAAAUUCCAUCUAUCCUCUUCAGGGCUUGCUGAGUCAGAGCUCAUCAAGUGAUAAAGGUCAGUUCAGGAGAUAUGAACUAAAUUAUAAUUUUCAGAUUAAGGGAAAAAUAUUUAUGAA
This 435-nucleotide long non-coding RNA is filed under the name Mustela putorius furo (domestic ferret). Its description in RNAcentral is "lncRNA (ENSMPUG00000027029.1)". The record is from RNAcentral. Lineage: Eukaryota; Metazoa; Chordata; Mammalia; Carnivora; Mustelidae.